CGGAGAGUUGAAUUUAUUGAAUUGUACAAGAUAACUGUCAUUGCUUACAAAGAAAGUAAGAAAGAAAGACCCUGACUCAGUCUGUUCCAUAAGCAAGAAAUAUUCCGCCAAGAUGCUACCUGUACUUUCUACAAUAUAUAUAUUCUACAUGCAGAACUACAAACCGAUUCAGGUUAUGGUAUCACAGCUACAAUAUUUAGUGGAGGAUAGAAAAGGCCGAAGUCAGGAAAGAACGACAGUAAAUACUAUUUUUAAAUGCUUUUUAUAAAGUAAACAGAUGCUUUACGAAACCAGAAGGAACGGGAAGAAAUGAGGGAAACGCGUGAUCGCAUUGCCUGUGUACACUGUACUUGCUUAUUGUUGUUGUUUACCGAAGGUCAACAUCACGGGCUAUAGCACUGGGAGAAGAACUUAUAUUUAUAUAAAAGAAAAAAAUUGUCCAAAAAGCUUUAAGGAUUUUUUAAAUGUGUGAAAGUCUGUGUUGUUAUCAUUAUGAUGAGGAGUAGGGGUGGGGGACGUCAGUCAGUGUCAGUUGUCUCCCUUGUCCAGAGUUGCUACACGUGUCGUUGUCUGUGUGUCCACGUGUAGGCAAAUAAUACCUGUACAUCCUGGAAUUUCAGGCAUAGCUUCUUGUGGAUAUAUGAUAUAUACAUUAAAUAAGCAAACGUGAGUUUUAUUUGGCCGUGUCUUGCUACUCAAAGUGUUUACAUUGUGGCAUGGUCUUCUCGUUUUUCUCUCUUCUUCUGCUUUGUGCAGACGAGUGCACACACUCAAUCAACUAUGCCACGACCAAGAAAGUGGUUUCCAUUUGGAUAUACGGUCUCUGUGGAUAAACGCGGGCAGCUUCGUACACGUAUUCAACGAUUGUCAGCGGAGGAUAUGAGGGUUUUUAUGCGGCUAAACAGAACUCUUGACCAGGGGCAAGAUGGUGGUGUAAGCACCCAGCAACAGGAGGAGCGUGACACCUUCCAGGAUAUUCCUCUAGCUAGCACGAGGCGGGGAAGGAUUCAGGACUUGCGAGACAAAGUCAUCACUAAAAUGUCAAAAAUUGCAAGAAUGUGAAAUAUCUUGUUUCAAGAGCUGCAGGAGGUGUGGUUUCUAAAUCACAACUUGGCCUGAACCAGUUUCCUUACGAGAGGGCCAGAAAGGGGGAAUUCAUAAUUCAUGGGAUUCCCCCAUCCUUAAUGCCCUUGCAGCCCCCUGGAAGGCUGGCCACAAACAAACUCCUACAAAUCCUUGACUGUGAAGUCACUGUGACCAGAGCACCAUCAGCUAUAGAUUCCUCCCACAUUUCACACACAAAUGAAAUUACAGAAAAUAUGUUGCAACCAACACAAACACCAUUUGUACAUGGAUCAUCAACAUCUCAUUCAAACGCUAAAGAAAUAGAAAAUAGAUUACAAGAGACACAAACACAACUUGUAUAUUCAACAUCAUCAUCAUCUGCAAAUAAUGAAGCAACAGGAAACAUUACAUCAGAUACAAACACAACCUCUACAUAACACAUCAACACAUACGCACAGUACAUUAGACAUAAACCGACCUACUCGACUUUUAGAACACAAUUAACAACUGUCACAUCUCAUCAACACCGCAGAAAUGUGUGAUGGAAGAACCCCAGGUCAUGCCACAGACGGACAGUUCUGGAGCCUGCUUAUCACAGACAAGCAAAAUCAGCCAGAUGAUCAGACAAAUACUACUUCUGUGGAAGUUCCAUUAAAGGAAUUGCCAAAGGCCAAAAGAACAAGUCACAUGGGACAUAAUGACAAUCAAAGCAUUAGAAAACAGUUUGGGGCCUCUUGGGGCCGUUGAUCACAUACCCAGUUCAACUGAAAUUGAAAGAAUUCACCAGAACAAUCCGAGAACCCCUUCUGGCGACGGGAAAAGCGUGUCUUGGCUGGCCAUGUAACCAGCAACAACACUUUAGUGAAGAGCAUCCUCUGGGAAACCCUUGUGUGAGGACAAAGACAAUGAGGGUUGAGGAAGAACAAACGUAAAAUAUAGGGCUAAACAUGCCACUCAGCAGGAAUGAUGCAAGACUUGCGCAAGAACUGUCUCAAUGUCCCCGACGAUACCACAGUAUUGUGUAAAAGAAGAUAUGAAUGAAUAAUCAAUUAGUCUUCCAGGGACAACAAAUCCAAGAUGGUUUAACACAAGUCAAAUAACAUUUAUAGGUACAUGUAAAUAGAAAAUCGCGCGGGCAUACUUAGGUGUGGCACCUCUUCACCCACCCCGGGAGUUUGGCGCAAGUAGGCUAGGUGGGUGGAUUAGAAUAGAAAUAUCUGUGUUGUGUGUGUGUUAGUAAUGUAAAUAAAUCUGUCUUUGAACCUAUUUACCUGUGGUAACAUGU
This 2350-nucleotide long non-coding RNA is filed under the name Pomacea canaliculata. RNAcentral describes it as "uncharacterized LOC112563227, transcript variant X1". Lineage: Eukaryota; Metazoa; Mollusca; Gastropoda; Architaenioglossa; Ampullariidae. The record is from RNAcentral.